This is a non-coding RNA of Paramuricea clavata, 206 nucleotides long. The record is from the annotation of a GenBank genome assembly. Lineage: Eukaryota; Metazoa; Cnidaria; Anthozoa; Malacalcyonacea; Plexauridae.
ACCUGUUUGGCCGUUUUUUUUUCAAAAUAGUGGAUACACAAGCUUCAUAAGGCCACAGAAUAGGAAGUUAUACCAGAAGCGUAACUCUAGUCGUUUCCCUUAUCCACGAAAAUUUUAACUCGCUCACGUCAGGCAGGGCAUUUUUUAAGAAUUCGUCAGUGGGGGGGCCAUCUACAAAAAGGGACCAUACUAUACCGAGUGUGGAG